This 507-nucleotide ribosomal RNA is filed under the name uncultured Bacteroidales bacterium. Its description in RNAcentral is "bacterial SSU rRNA". It matches the Rfam family "Bacterial small subunit ribosomal RNA", at positions 44 to 541 of the family's 1533-position model. Lineage: Bacteria; Pseudomonadati; Bacteroidota; Bacteroidia; Bacteroidales. The record is from RNAcentral.
AGGCUUAACACAUGCAAGUCGAGGGGCAUCAGGAAGAAAGCUUGCUUUCUUUGCUGGCGACCGGCGCACGGGUGAGUAACACGUAUCCAACCUGCCCUUUACUCGGGGAUAGCCUUUCGAAAGAAAGAUUAAUACCCGAUAGUAUAAUGAUUCCGCAUGGUUUGAUUAUUAAAGGAUUCCGGUAAAGGAUGGGGAUGCGUUCCAUUAGGUUGUUGGUGAGGUAACGGCUCACCAAGCCUUCGAUGGAUAGGGGUUCUGAGAGGAAGGUCCCCCACAUUGGAACUGAGACACGGUCCAAACUCCUACGGGAGGCAGCAGUGAGGAAUAUUGGUCAAUGGGCGUUAGCCUGAACCAGCCAAGUAGCGUGAAGGAUGAAGGCUCUAUGGGUCGUAAACUUCUUUUAUAUAAGAAUAAAGUGCAGUAUGUAUACUGUUUUGUAUGUAUUAUAUGAAUAAGGAUCGGCUAACUCCGUGCCAGCAGCCGCGGUAAUACGGAGGAUCCGAGCGU